ACGGAAGGCAGCAGUGGGGAAUAUUGGGCAAUGGGCGCAAGCCUGACCCAGCAAUGCCGCGUGAAGGAAGAAGGCUUUCGGGUUGUAAACUUCUUUUAAGUGGGACGAUAAUGACGGUACCACUUGAAUAAGCUCCGGCUAACUACGUGCCAGCAGCCGCGGUAAUACGUAGGGAGCAAGCGUUAUCCGGAUUUACUGGGUGUAAAGGGCGUGUAGGCGGGACAGCAAGUCAGAAGUGAAAUUCCCGGGCUUAACUUGGGCGCUGCUUCUGAAACUGCUUUACUUGAGUACUGGAGAGGAUAGUGGAAUUCCUAGUGUAGCGGUAAAAUGCGCAGAUAUUAGGAGGAACACCGGUGGCGAAGGCGGCUAUCUGGACAGUAACUGACGCUGAGGCGCGAAAGCACGGGGAGCAAACAGGAUUAGAUACCCUGGUA
RNAcentral lists this ribosomal RNA (434 nucleotides) under uncultured Saccharofermentans sp. RNAcentral's name for it is "bacterial SSU rRNA". It matches the Rfam family "Bacterial small subunit ribosomal RNA", at positions 341 to 792 of the family's 1533-position model. Lineage: Bacteria; Bacillati; Bacillota; Clostridia; Eubacteriales; Oscillospiraceae. The record is from RNAcentral.